This 363-nucleotide ribosomal RNA is filed under the name uncultured Citrobacter sp. RNAcentral's name for it is "partial 16S ribosomal RNA". It matches the Rfam family "Bacterial small subunit ribosomal RNA", at positions 73 to 435 of the family's 1533-position model. The record is from RNAcentral. Lineage: Bacteria; Pseudomonadati; Pseudomonadota; Gammaproteobacteria; Enterobacterales; Enterobacteriaceae.
AAGAAUCUUGCUUCUUUGCUGACGAGUGGCGGACGGGUGAUUAAUGUCUGGGAAACUGCCCGAUGGAGGGGGAUAACUACUGGAAACGGUACCUAAUACCGCAUAACGUCUUCGGACCAAAGAGGGGGACCUUCGGGCCUCUUGCCAUCGGAUGUGCCCAGAUGGGAUUAGCUAGUAGGUGGGGUAACGGCUCACCUAGGCGACGAUCCCUAGCUGGUCUGAGAGGAUGACCAGCCACACUGGAACUGAGACACGGUCCAGACUCCUACGGGAGGCAGCAGUGGGGAAUAUUGCACAAUGGGCGCAAGCCUGAUGCAGCCUUUUUUUUUUGUAUGAAGAAGGCCUUCGGGUUGUAAAGUACUU